GAUUGUUGAUUCUGUUAAACUGCACAAAAUACAAACCACAGAAAUACAAGCUUUUGAAUGUGCAAAUGUUUAAAACAUGUUUAUUUAGAGUAGCCAAGUAGGGGUGGCUAAUUCUUUACAGUUCAUCAGAGUCGUACACUUUUGUAUUUCAUUUCGUGAUCAUUAUUCUAUCAUCGCCUAAAGAAAUUUUCCAUUUUAAAGAAACUCCACGAGCCCAAUGCUCCAGUUAGCUCCGGAGACAAAACAGUUCCCGUCUGAGUAACAUCUUUACGAAGUAGAAAGUAAGAUAAACCCAGCAACCUGGUCAUCAUUCAAAGCUUGGCAAAUCAAGAUGAAACUGCUAUUUUCCAGUUUGCUGAGCUCAAAAGUUUCUGAAGAUUCACACCCUCCCACUCAAGCUCUCCCUGAGGAGCAGUCAGAAUCGCAACUGGAGAGACCAUCUCUGAAUGCACGAGUCAGUGAUGGACCCGGGCG
Molecule: long non-coding RNA, 474 nt
Organism: Chinchilla lanigera (long-tailed chinchilla)
Lineage: Eukaryota; Metazoa; Chordata; Mammalia; Rodentia; Chinchillidae
Exons: 3
Source: RefSeq, a predicted model, not a curated record